This 64-nucleotide transfer RNA is filed under the name Cambarus robustus. RNAcentral describes it as "tRNA-Asp". Lineage: Eukaryota; Metazoa; Arthropoda; Malacostraca; Decapoda; Cambaridae. The record is from RNAcentral.
UAAAAAUUAGUUAAUGUGUAUAACAUAAGUUUGUCAAACUUAAAUAAUUAGUAAAUAUUUUUAU